UACGGGGGGGGCAAGCGUUGUUCGGAAUUACUGGGCGUAAAGGGCUCGUAGGUGGCCAACUAAGUCAGACGUGAAAUCCCUCGGCUUAACCGGGGAACUGCGUCUGAUACUGGAUGGCUUGAGUUUGGGAGAGGGACGCGGAAUUCCAGGUGUAGCGGUGAAAUUCGUAGAUAUUGGGAAGAACACCGGUGGCGAAGGCGGCGCUCUGGACCGAGACUGACGCUGAGGCGCGAAAGUGUGGGGAGCGAACAGG
This 253-nucleotide ribosomal RNA is filed under the name uncultured bacterium. RNAcentral's name for it is "partial 16S ribosomal RNA". It matches the Rfam family "Bacterial small subunit ribosomal RNA", at positions 524 to 776 of the family's 1533-position model. The record is from RNAcentral.